GACGAACGCUGGCGGCGUGCUUAGCACAUGCAAGUCGAACGGAAAGGCACCAGCUUGCUGGAGUACUCGAGCGGCGAACGGGUGAGUAACACGUGGGUAAUCUGCCCUGCACUCUGGGAUAAGCCUGGGAAACUGGGUCUAAUACUGGAUAUGACCUUUCUCCUUAUGGGGUUUGGUGGAAAGUUUUUCGGUGUAGGAUGAGCCCGCGGCCUAUCAGCUUGUUGGUGGGGUGAUGGCCUACCAAGGCGACGACGGGUAGCCGGCCUGAGAGGGUGAUCGGCCACAUUGGGCCUGCGAUACGGCGCAGACUCCUACGGGAGGCAGCAGUGGGGAAUAUUGCACAAUGGGCGGAAGCCUGAUGCAGCGACGCCGCGUGAGGGAUGACGGCCUUCGGGUUGUAAACCUCUUUCAGCAGGGACGAAGCGUAAGUGACGGUACCUGCAGAAGAAGCACCGGCUAACUAUGUG
RNAcentral lists this ribosomal RNA (467 nucleotides) under uncultured bacterium. Its description in RNAcentral is "partial 16S ribosomal RNA". It matches the Rfam family "Bacterial small subunit ribosomal RNA", at positions 28 to 507 of the family's 1533-position model. The record is from RNAcentral.